This 2853-nucleotide long non-coding RNA is filed under the name Glycine max (soybean). RNAcentral's name for it is "long non-coding RNA (GMAX_LNC003528)". The record is from RNAcentral. Lineage: Eukaryota; Viridiplantae; Streptophyta; Magnoliopsida; Fabales; Fabaceae.
GUUCCUCAUAAUCAUCACAAAUAGGACAUAAAUUUGAAGGGCUUAAACCAAAAAGCAUUGUCCUAAAAUUAGUGAGAAUGCAUUCUUGGCUGAUCUUUCAAAGAAAGCCCUUUGCAUAUUCAGGAUCCUUCCACUUCCUCAUCUCCAUGAAGAGAGCAUGAUUCUUGUGAGUUGCUACACCAUUCACCUCAUACACAUAUUUCAUAAAGCACACUCCAUCACUAGACUUCCUCUCCAUGCUAUACUAUCUGCUCGGUCAGUAUUGUAACUAACUUCCAUAUCUGUUACCAUCUUCACAACAUUAGGGGAAAGAUAAUCCUUAAUUGUAUGAAUUUGCCAACAACCAUUCACAUCAAUAUACUCAGCCACAGAUUUUUGAAGCUCAUAAUGGGGAGUGUUACUAGCAGCUACAUCCACCAAUCUGCCACAGCUUGGAAUCCAAGCAUCGUUCCAAAAUUUUAUCAAGGUGAUGGUAACUUCGAAUGAUAUUCUGACAGAAUGUGUCCCAAAUAGAACAAAUACCCCGCCAAAAGUUUUUUAUUUGUGUUUGCUUAUUGAGCAUUGGCAGAAUACUAGAGCCACAACGAUACUUGCUCCUGAUAAAAGGAGCCCAAACAGGAGAAUCUCCAAUUGGCUCUCAUCAUAUCUCAUUUUCCUCAAGCCUAGCCCUCCCUGCUCCUUGUGAGUGCUGAUCUUGUCUCAUGACACUAGAUGCAUCUUUUGUCCAUUGAGCUAUGACCCCAAAUGAAAUUCCUGUAGACUUUAUCAACAUCAUCACGAGUGGAUUUGGGUAGGAGUGUAGUUUGCAUGACAUACCUUGGCAACAUCAUCUCGGAGUCACUCUUCCUGCAAAAAUAGAGAUUUAGCUUUCCAAGCACUGAUUUACUUUAUCAAUUAUAAAUUGAAAAGUAUUUCGGGAGGGUCUCUUAUGAAAGAUUGGGACUCCAAUAUACUUAUCCUAGUCCUCAGUCCAUGGUAUCUCCUUCUCAUCACUAACUUGUUGCUCAAGUGUCUUCCAACAUAAUUGGAGAUUUAUUGUCUGCCCCGAACUCCUGCAAAACAAAUCUAAAAUAUUCUUAACCAAAUAGACCUGGUCAAGAGUAGCCUUCGCAAAAAGAAUAACAUCAUCCGCAAAAGCUAAGAGAACAAUAUCCUAUUUGUGUGAACAGAUAAAUUAGAUUUGUAAUUUUAAAUUUUAGAGAAAAUAAAUAUCAGUUAAAAGUAAUAUUAACAUUUGUAAUCGAUUUAACUACUGUAAGAAGUUAUUAAAGAAGGAAUUCUUUUUAGCUUGCACUUGUAGUGAUACGACUUUCAAAAUAUGAUAUAUAAAAAUAUAUUAAAAAAAUACUCACACGGUCCCAAAUAAAGUAUUAGAUUUACGAAAAAAUUGUACCAAAAUAUCAUUUCACGUUUUAACGUAAUGGUUCUUUUUCACCGAUAUCCCUGAUAAAUCUUACUUUAGUUUUUAAAUUUAAUAUUAAGACAAAUGAUAACCAAUACUCUUAGGUCAUUAAUUAAGAAAUUAAAAAAAGAAAUCUUUUUAUUGAAAUAUAAAAUUAUAUUAUUAAUGAUUUUUUUAUUUUCUCUUCUAAUUUUAAUAAUAAAUAUUUUUAAUUUUUAAUUUUUAAUUUUUAUAAUAAAUAUAUCUAUAUAUAAAUCUAUUUGCCAUGUCCUGAUCUGGUUUGUAGUUUUGACACGAUUAUUUCGAACCUAAUAUAUUGCUGUCUUUUAAAUGUAGGUUGUGAAGGUUCAUUAAAAUACUGGGUAUGUAGACAACACACCAACACAGAGACUGCUCCAGGUCAUUGGUAAGCAUAAGCUCCUGUUCAUCUAUAUUUUCUUUGAAACAUGUAAUUAAUUAAAUUACUUUGCAAGAUUUGUAGAUACUUCUGCUAAAUUAUUAUAUGGAUGAUAAAUUUUGGAACUGAUUAGAUGUUUAAUAUCAAGAAAUAGUAUGACUUUUAAUUGCAAUGUUAGCCACUUGAUCAUAGAAGCUAUGAUACCAUGCCAAGCACCAACUUGGCUACAGAUUUUAGUUGUUAGGUGCAUUCACAUACUUGGUUUUGUAUAUCUAACAAAUGCUAAUGUCAUCCAUGUCAUAUCAGCACAAUCUUCUCUCUUCAACCCUAGUUGUACUAAAUUCUCUUGCAUCAAGUGCAUUGCCUUAUCCAAACCUCCAACAUACAAGCUUUCAAACAAAUUAUUCGGGUAUCAACUCCGUCAUCUAAAUCUGUUUUAUACACUGGGACUUGAUUUCAUUCACAAAACUAUGCAGUCUCAUCGUCUAAAGCAGCAACUAGAUAAUUGGUUAUGCCAACUCUGUUGAUAUUGGUGAACCAGACCUCCAGCAUCUCCUUCACAUUGGUGUUUGCAUGACACACUAAAACCUCUUGUUUAACUAGAACUUUCUCUAAUAUCUUUUCCAAUCUUGGAUUCACAGAUUGAUGAGGAACAACAGUAGUGUUGGCUCUUAAUCCCUUUACAGUAGCAAAAGGUCUAGAUUUAGGCUGUUUUCCUAAUGUAAGGAACUGCUUUUGAGCCUGUUCUUUCCCUUGAUUUGACUCUGUUCUAAGAGAAUUUUCCCAAAACUUACUAGAUUCAGAAGCCAAAUAAACAAUCACCAUUACUCCAAACAUACUUUAUUCUAAGUAAAAUGUACACUUGAAACCAAAAUUGUAGUCAUUCUCAAAGAAAAACAAAAUUGUACAACCCUAGACAAUAAGUAAUCCAUAAUCACUCUCCACGAUUUAAGUCAACAGAAAAGUGGCAUAGCUCACUGGUUGCUAACCGCAAAAGAAAAUACAAAACACUUGGAUUACAUUGGAGGCCUCCCAGAACCGAGCAGCAGACCAA